GCUUGUCUCAAAGAUUAAGCCAUGCAUGUCUAAGUACAAGCCUCAGUAAGGUGAAACUGCGAAUGGCUCAUUAUAUCAGUUAUAGUUUAUUUGAUGGUUCUUGCUACUUGGAUAACCGUAGUAAUUCUAGAGCUAAUACAUGCGUCAAACCUCGACUUCUGGGAGAGGUGUAUUUAUUAGAUGGAAACCAAUGCGGGGCAACCCGGUAUAUGGUGAUUCAUAAUAACUUUCAGAUCGAUCGCAAGAUCGAUGCAUCAUUCAAGUUUCUGCCCUAUCAGCUUUGGAUGGUAGGGUAUUGGCCUACCAUGGCUUUAACGGGUAACGGAGAAUUAGGGUUCGAUUCCGGAGAGGGAGCCUGAGAAACGGCUACCACAUCCAAGGAAGGCAGCAGG
Molecule: ribosomal RNA, 392 nt
Filed under: uncultured Chrysophyceae
Lineage: Eukaryota; Chrysophyceae
Description: partial small subunit ribosomal RNA
Rfam family: Eukaryotic small subunit ribosomal RNA
Source: RNAcentral